Long non-coding RNA from Rhodamnia argentea, 309 nucleotides. RefSeq lists it as uncharacterized. NCBI's taxonomy places the organism in Eukaryota, Viridiplantae, Streptophyta, Magnoliopsida, Myrtales, Myrtaceae. The transcript has 3 exons. The record is from RefSeq and is a predicted model, not a curated record.
AAACUUCCAGGACUGGAAAAUUCAGCUCCAGGAAUUAACUUAUUCAGCUGUUUGUUCUGUAGUGGAUGUGUAAUUUGAUUGUAACGUACUUUCUAUGCAGAGUUGGGAAAAAUAAUUUGAUUAGGUAUUACUUUCAGAUAAUUGUUUUGACUGGAGUUCGAUGGGUCAUAGUUGGCUUUUUUAACCUUGACUUCAUGGUUAUUCAUGUUGCCAAAGUACUUUAUGUGGUUGAUCUAGUUGGUCCUUCAGUGAUUAGGAUUUAGCGAGCACUAGUACGAAAUAAACAAGGUAAUAAUGAGUACCGAAGGC